GACGAACGCUGGCGGCGUGCUUAACACAUGCAAGUCGAACGAAGAGCGAUGGAAGCUUGCUUCUAUCAAUCUUAGUGGCGAACGGGUGAGUAACGCGUAAUCAACCUGCCCUUCAGAGGGGGACAACAGUUGGAAACGACUGCUAAUACCGCAUACGAUCUAAUCUCGGCAUCGAGGAAAGAUGAAAGGUGGCCUCUAUUUAUAAGCUAUCACUGAAGGAGGGGAUUGCGUCUGAUUAGCUAGUUGGAGGGGUAACGGCCCACCAAGGCGAUGAUCAGUAGCCGGUCUGAGAGGAUGAACGGCAACAUUGGGACUGAGACACGGCCCAGACUCCUACGGGAGGCAGCAGUGGGGAAUCUUCCGCAAUGGACGAAAGUCUGACGGAGCAACGCCGCGUGAGUGAUGACGGCCUUCGGGUUGUAAAGCUCUGUUAAUCGGGACGAAAGGCCUUCUUGCGAACAGUUAGAAGGAUUGACGGUACCGGAAUAGAAAGCCACGGCUAACUACGUG
This 510-nucleotide ribosomal RNA is filed under the name uncultured bacterium. RNAcentral's name for it is "partial 16S ribosomal RNA". It matches the Rfam family "Bacterial small subunit ribosomal RNA", at positions 28 to 507 of the family's 1533-position model. The record is from RNAcentral.